CAAUAGCGUAUAUUAAAGUUGUUGCAGUUAAAAAGCUCGUAGUUGGAUUUCUGGUGGGAGCGAUCGGUCUGGCGCUUAGCGCGAGUACUUGCAUCGUCUCCGGCCAUCCUUGGGGAAAGUCUGUCUGGCAUUAAGUUGUCGGGCAGAGGAUCCUCAUCGUUUACUGUGAAAAAAUUAGAGUGUUCAAAGCAGGCUUAUGCCGUUGAAUAUAUUAGCAUGGAAUAAUAAGAUAGGACUUUGGUACUAUUUUGUUGGUUUGCGCACCAAAGUAAUGAUUAAUAGGGACAGUUGGGGGUAUUCGUAUUCCGUUGUCAGAGGUGAAAUUCUUGGAUUUACGGAAGACGAACUGCUGCGAAAGCAUUUACCAAGGAUGUUUUCAUUAA
Molecule: ribosomal RNA, 383 nt
Filed under: uncultured eukaryote
Lineage: Eukaryota
Description: partial 18S ribosomal RNA
Rfam family: Eukaryotic small subunit ribosomal RNA
Source: RNAcentral